This is a long non-coding RNA of Ochotona curzoniae (black-lipped pika), 1414 nucleotides long. RefSeq lists it as uncharacterized. The record is from RefSeq and is a predicted model, not a curated record. Lineage: Eukaryota; Metazoa; Chordata; Mammalia; Lagomorpha; Ochotonidae. The transcript has 2 exons.
UCCAUCUCUGUGUAAAUCUGCCUUUCCAGUAAAAGUAAAUCUUAAAAAAAAGUAUUUGGAACCCUUAGCCCAGCACUUGGGGAGCUUUUGUGAUCAUUCGCAGACCCACAUAGAGCAACACAGCUUUGAGUAGCUCCAGGUUCCUAGAGCCAGCUGAGGUUGAAGAAUGCAAUGCUGCUUCUUGUUUCAUGGCUCAGAUUGUGAACUAGUGUCCUUGUUGCAAUCUUUUGUGUACUGAAAUGAUUUUUGCAUUUUCAUGCUUUGUAUUGCUGAAAAUGGCUUCCAGAAUGGCCUGGGACUGACAGAUUGAUACUCCUAAGAGCAAGAAAGCUAGAACGUAGCUUAAAGAGAAAAACAUAUGAGGGUCAAUGAAGCUUUUGUGAGUAGCAUUGCUGUUGAUUCUGAGCCUGAUAUUCAUGUACCAACAACAUGCAUCAGUGAAAUCUGCCUUUUUUUUUUUAAGCAAGAAAAUGCUUGCCAUGGUGAUGUGUGCCAGUGGUGGUGCUAGGAAUGUUGUGACCAGUAGCUUGUAUUUUAUUAGGAGCAAAGGUUUGUCAUUUGCUAAUGUAGGGAUAAAGAUGAUUUGAUAUAAGCAAGUUUUAUCAUUACCAGUCCCAAGGGGCACUUCCUGGGGGAAUCCCUGUGCUUUCCUACCAGCCAGAUCCUCCCGAGUUGGUGAGCAUGCUCAGGUCAUGAAGCCUCCAGAUUCUCUUUUAUCCUGGGUGGAAACUGCAGCUGUAGAGAUACAAAUGUGCCACAGUGUUAGCCCAGAGCCAGGCAUCCUGUCAAAUGCUGACAGAGCUCAAGCUUCACAGUGUGUCCAUGUGUGUGGACACUUUGCUGCAGCUGCAGAAGUUCCAGAAACACACCCUUUCUUGACCUGUCAGAUGAUGUUUUGCGUAGUUCCCCUGGCCCUCUUACAGCCAGAGUGCCCCAGUUCAGGGAACAAUAAAAAUAGACAACACAGGAACUCGUCUGUCUCAGGGGAAAGAGAGUCUUUUGCAUUGAAAGGGAUGAUAUUCUGUAGCUUAAGAACAUCUAAUUUGAGGAUGAGAUUUCACAGAAGAAAAUCAAGGAAUGACGUGAGGGGCUUACCUGUUUCCACUGCCUGUAGCUUUUAUUUUUUUAAUGUGUGUUUUCUCUGCCAAAAAAACAAAAUGAGAAGGCCAUUGAACAGCCUGAUUCUUUGUUGAGGAAAUGGUUUUUUGUGAGGCUGUUUGGUUAUACAAUGAAUGAAAGAGGCAGGACUUCCGGGAUGGGCUCUCUGUCUGGGAUGUGAGGGCUGCUGCGAAGCCUCGGGUUGGUUUUCUGGUGUGUGUGUCUGUUUGUGUGUGAGUGUGUGUGUGUGUGUGUGAGAGAGAGAGAGAGAGAGAGAGAAUGAGAGAGGGUGUGUAUAUAGAGCCUAGUAGCAAAG